GUGCCAGCAGCCGCGGUAAUACGUAGGUGGCAAGCGUUGUCCGGAUUUAUUGGGCGUAAAGCGAGCGCAGGUGGUUUCUUAAGUCUGAUGUGAAAGCCCACGGCUCAACCGUGGAAGGUCAUUGGAAACUGGGGAACUUGAAUGCAGAAGAGGAGAGUGGAAUUCCAUGUGUAGCGGUGAAAUGCGUAGAUAUAUGGAGGAACACCAGUGGCGAAGGCGACUCUCUGGUCUGUUAUUGACACUGAGGCUCGAAAGCGUGGGGAGCGAACAGGAUUAGAUACCCCCGUAGUCC
Molecule: ribosomal RNA, 292 nt
Filed under: uncultured prokaryote
Description: partial 16S ribosomal RNA
Rfam family: Bacterial small subunit ribosomal RNA
Source: RNAcentral